UAUUAAACAAUACAACACACACAUAUUACCAACAUAUAUAUAUAUAUCUAUUAAUUUUCAAAAAGUUUUAUAAACUUGUAUUUGUAAUAAAUUUAUUUAUUUAUUUAUUAAGUAUAUUCAUUUUAUCAAGUCAUAGUGACAAGACUUCUUCUCUACAGCAUUUAGCUUUUUUCAAAAAUACAGCCAGAUUUUUCAAAGUAAUUAAAUUUUCUGUUCUAAAAAGACUAGUUAAAGUGUCUCUGUUACAAUUACUUUGACACCAUAAUGGUAAAAAAUUUCUCCUUAUGUCAGCCAAAAUUGGACAAACAAGUACAAAAUGGAAUUCAUCUUCUAUUUCAUUUGUAUUACAAAUUUUACA
RNAcentral lists this long non-coding RNA (358 nucleotides) under Mytilus galloprovincialis (Mediterranean mussel). The record is from RNAcentral. Lineage: Eukaryota; Metazoa; Mollusca; Bivalvia; Mytilida; Mytilidae.